CGGCCGGCCGUUAGCCCCGGCACGCGCCGCCGGCCCCGCGCGCUGCUUCAGGCGUUCCGCGGCUCGCGACCAACGGCGGCCCCCGCGGCAGCCUCCCUCAGGCUCGUCCCGGCGGCGCUGGCGACACGGCUGCGCUUCCCCGGGCGCCAGGCGCCCGCAGGGAGCUGCCUCACGGUCCCGGGGCACCCUGCGGCGUUUGGGACAGGGCACUGCACUGCCCUGAGACUGCCGCCAAAACCGCGCUGGUGCAUAGAGGCACAGAAGCACAGAAUGGAGCUUCAGUGAAGAGGAGCAGCACCUGUACAACUGAAGGAACUCUUCAAAGAUUCUGGAUUGGGAGAAGCACAGAAAAUCAACUUCUUGGCAUAAAUCAGGAUACUAGUGAAGCAUAUGUCUUUCUCUGUCAUGGAAAGGGAAAAGAUGUUCCAACAGUCCAAGGCAGUACGAAGCUGAGAAGGAAUUUGUACUGUUGUCUUUGGUACAUUGCAGUGCCAAUACUGGAAGGUAUACAAGUGACUGCAACAAAACUACUGGAGCUCCAAGGGAAGAGGUGGGAAUGCUUGCCCCUGUCACUGCACCACAUGACCAAAAUAUGCAAAAAAAUAUUGGGCCAUGUUAGUCCUCCAAUAAAUCCAUCUGUCAUGUGCUAAUCCUGUCUGGAUAUCAGAGCUUUAACUCAAGAUUGUUCUUUAAAAGCUAUUUACUCUAUAUUCCUCUGCAGGAAAGGACAUUUCUCUCUGAUUUGUUGGCAUUGACUUGUCUUUGCUUUGUAUGCGUGCAGUUCAGAAUAUGAUGGAGGCCUGCCCCUGUAUGGUGCUCUUAGCUUUACUAAGUUGAUUAUAAUUAAAAUAGAUUGUUGUUUGACUGAUCCUCUUUUCUUAAGUAGAGCUAAUGCAGAUUAACUGUCCAUAGACAGAGACUUUAAGUAUCCAGUGUAAGAAAAAUCUUGCAUUAAAUAUUAGCAGUGGCAUCACUACGUAUCACCAUUGUCAUUUAACGUGUUGUGCUUUUUGACAAUAUAAUGAAAAUUUGCAACUAAAAAUAUACUGCUAUACAUAAAAACCUCUCUAGGACUUAAUACUCACUUGUGUUUCUUAUGCAGUGUCUCACUGAAUGGCAGUUCACUAUACAGAAAAGUAAUCCUCAGGUGUCUUUCUGUCUAAGAUUUAACACAGUUGAAUAUACCCUGCUGGUCACAAUGCUUCAGUUUUUAUAUGAUGCAUAUACACGCUGCAAGGUAUUUCAAACAAAUUCUACAAUUUUAAACAAAUCAGUUAAUUUAACUAAAAAUAAUGAUAGAACCUACAUUUCAUUAUGUGAAUGAUAAAAUUUUUAAAUACAACCUCAAUACAUGUGAUUCUAGGACACAAAUAGAUGUGGAAUUUAAGAAUAUUUUUCUCCUGAUGCUGUAUGUCCUGAGGCUGAUAAGGGGAAAAAAAAAGCAAUGCUAGGGAGGUCUUUGAUUUUUCACUAUGCAUGACACUCCAGUUUCUGGCCUGUUGGUCAGAUUGGCUGGCAGAAUAAUUGCACCUACAGGAAUGACUGGUAUAGUUGCAUGUGAAGCACAGCAGACAGGCACGCCUUUUUUCAUUCCAACAGAGAUGGGUGCUUAAUGCUGCAAAUGGCUGCCUCGGCCAUGUGCCUGAGCAUACAUCCUAGGUAUAAAGAUACUGGUUGUGCAAAACCUCAUACUGAACCACAACUGAAAUGAGGAUAAAUGGAAACAAAGCAAAAUAGAAACUAACAAAAUUUGCUCCCUUCUCUGCUCACUGUAUGAAUACAAAGGUUAAGCAUAGCCUAACUUAAGCUUUUGUAAGCAAAGGAUUUCAUCUCUAUACCAGAGAGUACUUCUAUUUUGAAAAUAGAUAUUUUGUGCAAAUAUAUUUCAGGCUUUGAAUUACAAUUCACAUAUACAAUACACAUAGAAUUUGUUGUAAGGUGCAUUACCUCUUUUAACUCAAGUAGCCCAUAUGGGAAGGUUGUUUCAAUUAGGAGUGAAACGUGAUAAUGAAAGCAUAAAUUCUUUUUAUGCAGCCAUCCUUAAUCACAAAGAACAUUGAGACAAACGUCACAAAUUUCAAAGGCAAAGUUGUUCACCUUCCCAGUCAAAGCUCCAUUUAAAGUUUAAUUCUUUAAUUUAACUCUAAUUAAUUCUGAAUUAAAAAUUAGCUGUGCCUAACAAGUACUUUUGACAAAAAGCUCACAAAGCAGCACAAUCUAGUACAAGUCAGAACCAGACUUAGUCAUUUUUACUCCAGAAGCCUCCCAAACUAAGUUUUCUGGCACCUCUCUGUCUGCCUGUAGUCCAUCUCCUCUCUAAUUAACAGUGAAGACUUACUCAUGGAUUGUCAAGUUCUUUAGCACAUGAAAGAAAAUCUGUACGGGCAGUCCCAGUUGCGUAGCUGCAGCUGCUGGAAUCAAAUAGAGAAAGAACCAGCAUUCAGGAGAGCUACCUCAGAACCAGGUUAAGGACUUCCUCUCGGUUUGUGAUCAGCUAGAGCUGUAAGAGCAGCAACAUUUGCUAGAAUGUGGAGCAAAUUCACAAGUUGUUUAAAUUGGAGCUAAAAGAUAUGCCUCUGUUACCUACCCUACUAACUGAAACUUAAGUUCUGCCUUUGAUGUACGUAGUUUACGAGAGUCUCCAAAAACAUGUUAUAUGUCUUUUUUCUUCUAUAGGCCCAGAUUCAAAGCACACUAUUGAUAUUAAAAGCUGA
This is a long non-coding RNA of Cygnus olor (mute swan), 2714 nucleotides long. RefSeq lists it as uncharacterized. The transcript has 3 exons. The record is from RefSeq and is a predicted model, not a curated record. NCBI's taxonomy places the organism in Eukaryota, Metazoa, Chordata, Aves, Anseriformes, Anatidae.